RNAcentral lists this ribosomal RNA (437 nucleotides) under uncultured bacterium. RNAcentral's name for it is "partial 16S ribosomal RNA". It matches the Rfam family "Bacterial small subunit ribosomal RNA", at positions 29 to 507 of the family's 1533-position model. The record is from RNAcentral.
AGCGAACGCUGGCGGCAGGCUUAACACAUGCAAGUCGAGCGGGCAUCCUUGUGGUGUCAGCGGCAGACGGGUGAGUAACGCGUGGGAACGUGCCCUUCGGUUCGGAAUAACUCAGGGAAACUUGAGCUAAUACCGGAUACGUGCGAGAGCAGAAAGGUUUAUCUGCCGAAGGAUCGGCCCGCGUCUGAUUAGCUAGUUGGUGAGGUUAUGGCUCACCAAGGCGACGAUCAGUAGCUGGUCUGAGAGAAUGAUCAGCCGCACUGGGACUGAGACACGGCCCAGACUCCUACGGGAGGCAGCAGUGGGGAAUAUUGGACAAUGGGGGCAACCCUGAUCCAGCCAUGCCGCGUGAGUGAUGACGGCCUUAGGGUUGUAAAGCUCUUUUCUCCGGGACGAUAAUGACGGUACCGGAGGAAUAAGCCCCGGCUAACUUCGUG